Long non-coding RNA from Phacochoerus africanus (Common warthog), 533 nucleotides. RefSeq lists it as uncharacterized. Lineage: Eukaryota; Metazoa; Chordata; Mammalia; Artiodactyla; Suidae. The record is from RefSeq and is a predicted model, not a curated record. The transcript has 2 exons.
CAUCUCCGAGCCCCGCUCUCACAACUGAGAACUCAACCCACGAAAUUGCGAUUGCAGACCAACUUCGUCCCUUCCAAGACUGACGGCAGAUGAGGGGCUUCAACCAAAAAUCUGAGAGGCCUGCGUGCCCCUAAAGGCUUCAUGCCGUCAGUGGGCAGGACGAGAAGCUCUGGGCAGCCCCCUCCCCCGCCCACUCCGCUCCUGUGCCCCCCUUACCCCAGGAGAAACUGACAAGCCUGCUGAAGGUCAGACCCAAUCACACGCCUCGCGGGCGGCCCCGAGCCCGCCCCCCUCUCCUUUGCCCAAGAAUCAGGUCUCCUGGCUAGCCCAGCCCACCAACCACCCCCCAUCUCCCCAUUCCACUCCUCCCUCCUCUCCUACCCAAAUCCCCGAGAAGAAAUGGGAGGGCGUUAUGGGGGACGCGUGCUUGGCUCCAGCACUUUGGGAAUGAAAGGAAUUGCAGGAGAGACCCGGAGUCCACAGAGUUUUCAAGGAGCUUCUGUAUUCAAUAAAAACAGCUACUUGUCUACUUG